Prionailurus viverrinus (fishing cat) is the source of this 454-nucleotide long non-coding RNA. RefSeq lists it as uncharacterized. The record is from RefSeq and is a predicted model, not a curated record. NCBI's taxonomy places the organism in Eukaryota, Metazoa, Chordata, Mammalia, Carnivora, Felidae. The transcript is spliced from 4 exons.
CUAGAGCUUAGGGCCUGCGAGGGGACAGGCUAGCAGGUGGGAGCAGUCAGACUAUGCUCUGCAAGCUGACAAAAACUCAAAUCAAACUACAUGAAGCGCAAGAGCGGAUUAGCCAUAAAGAUUCUGGUGUCGCAGGAUAACCAUUAACAGGAAUGUGGCAGCGCUUGAAUCCUCAUCCAGGAAAGGGAUUCCAGUUGGUUAUCACAGACAUACCAGCUCUUACAGUGAAAACCAACUGAAGAUAUCAAAGGCUACUUCUAUUUUAUGGGAAACAAAUAUGCGAGCUCUGACUCUUCUGGGGAACCAAAGUUCUCUUCGGUGUACCAAAAAGGUUACUCCUACUUGGCAUCUUCAAACAAUGACUCACGUUUGCGGCUUCCCUUCAAGAGCUGCUCCUUUGGCUAAUUUGAAUUUCAAGAAUCUCCUUGGAAAGAGGAGCCCAAUGGUAAAACAC